Long non-coding RNA from Sapajus apella (tufted capuchin), 7598 nucleotides. RefSeq lists it as uncharacterized. NCBI's taxonomy places the organism in Eukaryota, Metazoa, Chordata, Mammalia, Primates, Cebidae. The transcript is spliced from 3 exons. The record is from RefSeq and is a predicted model, not a curated record.
UUCUUAUUUGGCUUCUGGGCAUGUUGAGAAAAUGGGAAGAAUUGCUUUGCUUGGUCUUUAGUUGCAGAGGAAGUUAGUGGAAAUGGUUUUGCAUUUGUAAAUGGAUUUCAGAUAUUUGCCUUGUCUGGCCACAGAGCUUGGUAGUCACCGAGGAGGCUUACGGUUAAGUAGGAGCCAGGCCUCCUGUGGCUUUCUGCAACAGCUAAACCUUUCCAGGCCAUUGUUUUUGCUGGUGAGUGUGGCUGGUAUUUUGGUUGCUUUCUGUCAACAUCCGGCUUGGUUUGGUCCCUACCUAGGAAACUGCUCACUUGACAAAAGGUAAUUAUUAGAUUCCUGGUUUUCUUCUCACCUUGUAAAUUCUCUUGUUUGUUUUUCUUUUUUGACAAAUAGGAAUGAGGUGUGUUUACUACUGGAGCCUCGGGCUGUCAGAACCCAUAGGUUUGGUUUGCCUUGGUCCAGCCUGCCAGAUUGCAUGCUUUUGAUUUGGAAGAGGUUCUGGUGGUGUGUUUGCCAGCAGGGAUCACGUACAGUAAAAAUCAUGGGUAGGAGAAAUGGCCUUUCAGCUUUUCCCAUCUUCCUUCCUUCCAUUGUCUACACUCCUGGUCCCACCUUUUCCUUGGGGACCCGGAUGCUUGUGCUGGAAUCUAAUCAGUGUCCAAAGCUUAAAAUUCUCAUCCCCUCAUCUCCCUGCUUUUUUCCCCUUCAUUUUCUCUUGACCCUCACUUCCUUGGUUUAUUUCCAGACCCUCCAGGGCCUGUGUUUUCCCUUUAAAUGAUCCUAUGCCAUCCAGAGGAGACUCAAGAGCGCCGCUUCGCUUUAAUUUGGGAUUUUAGGCAGAGGCCUUCCCAUGUCUCUCAAGUUGCACUUGCAAGACUUGAGAAGCAUCGACUGCUUCGGUGAUGACGUUUAAAGUUGGCUUCCUUUCCUACCACUCUGACUCCCCUCUAUUUUCUAGAACUGGGUUUAUUAUUCAGUCUUUUGAAAAUGAUUUAUUACCUUCUAUAGCAAUGUUGGAAGGAGCUUAAUUUUCGAAGUGCGUAGUUCUCUUUAUGGUGAGAGUGAAGUAAAGGAGAUCUGAUUGAUCUUAUGACAAAAUUGCUUUAGUCAUAGCUAGUAUGAAAUCUCUUAAGGGCCCUGUUUUAUUUGCUCUUUUAAUUUAUGAACCUUCUUGGAUCCUUCAAGCAUCUGUGUACCAAGGCAAUGAUGCAUUAUCUGGAACAUGUAGGACUUCAUUUCUGCCCCCAGUAUGUCAUGAAGUGCUAUAGGGUUCUGAUACUUUGUUAGAUUUUGGUGUGAAUUAGGGAGUAGUGGUGUCAGCAAGCGUGUGUUUCAGAAAUUUGUUAAUUGUUUUUUCCAAAAGAAAAUGUAAUAUUAGCUGGAAUAAGCUGGCAGCCAUAGGGUGUGCAUUAGAUCUGGAAGUAAGCAAAAAAGACCCCCAGUUAAGUAGAAAGUAGCUACUAUAAAGCCCAUUUUCUUUUCCUGUAGGUCAGGGCCAUGUCUUCCUAAGGCUUCCAGAAAAGACCAUGUAGUGAAAUAGGAAUAGCGUGGACCCAGUAUCCUACAGCUGAGGGCAGUUGGAAGGGAGGAGAAGAGAAAAGAGUUAGACCAGCUCAGAAGGGUGGGCCCCUUCCUACUCUGGAAUCCCGGCAAGUCUCACUAAGCCACAGCAGAGCAUGCUUAUUGGUGUUAGGUUGGUCAUUCAGAAUAGUCAAAAUCAGUGUCCUCUGCUUUGGUGCGCUGGGAUGCAUGUAAUCCACUGAGGAUAGUUUCCAUGAAAAUAAUUUUUGAAUUUUGCUUUGUAAAUUUUAAUGAGCUUGAGUUCACUAAGAAAAUUAAUUUCUGUAGAACAAUUCCUUCCUUUAAUGUUGGCCCAAAUGAGGCAGUUAGUGUGGAAUUUGGGCCUUGGUGGAAUAACAUGGAAACAUUUUCUGGACACAUAGCCUGACGUGAGGACAGCCAUUGUUGAGCAGUGUGAGGGAAGGAGGAUUGCCUACUGAGUGACCGGGGCCGAGCAGGAGGCUUCCUGCUUGACCUCCAAAUACUCUGGCACUUCCUUUUUGGGGUCAGGAAGCUUCCAAAUCCAGAGUUCUCUCCGUUUGCUGUUCUUAGUUUUCCCAUGGAACCUCCAUACCAGACGAAGUGUGCCUAGGGUUGGGACUAGGUUUACUUCUCGUUGAAUCUCAACACGAUGCCUAGCACACAUAAUUCUCAGAAAAUGUUCGUUGAUUGUCAGGGUCCAGCUAAUCUUGUUUAUUUUGUGGUUUUGUACCUUUCUCUUUCAAAGGAUUGCUGUAUAAAUAAAUCCAUUUUGGUUUGCAAAAUCAUGGUUGUCGUGUCAUCCUUUGAAAGUUAGAGAAGCAGGAAAAUCUUUUAAGGAUGAUUGAAAUCUCCACUCUAUAAACCAUCCCAAUUAAUAUCUGAUUUCUUCUUUGAAAAACAUUAAUUGUAUCUCUUCCUCUGUAGAACCUUCCCUAACACCUCCCAUUUAUCAGAACAAAUUUCAUUUCUGAAUUCUUGAAGCAAUUAGUUUUUAGCUUACUUUGUGUGUCCUUUUUUAUCCAUCCAUCUAUCCAUCCGUUUAUCCAUCUCUGUCCAUCCAUUGAGCCAUCUUUGGGAGAGACCUGGGAUGUCUAUGAUCUGAAGCACAGAGUGUUCUAUAUCUGGGAAGCAUGGUGGUCAUGCCCACACUAGCAUGCUGGGUUGUGGUUGUGCCUUCUCUUGUCUUCUGUAGAUUGGGAGUCUCACCAAAGGAGGGGAUGGGAGGGCUAGCUUGAGUCAAGGUACGUAAGUUGGAACAUUGCAAAUGGGGUUCAGGGUACCCAGGGUUGUCCCUCUUUGGUCAGGCCAAGGUCAGCAAAGCGCCAGCUGUUUUUGUAUGCAAAAAAAAAAAAAAAAAAGAGUAAGCUAAAUGGUGUUUAUGGUUUUUAGGGGUUGUAAAAAAAAAAAAAAAAAGUGUAAAAAGUCCAAAGAAGAUGCAACAUACCGUGUAUAUGCAACCUGCAAAACCUAAAAUAUUUAUCAUCUGCUCCUUUAUAGAAAAAGUUGUCCCAACCCUGGUUAGAGCUCCGAGUGUGGGUAGAGCUGUCUCACAGAUCGACUCUGUCCCAGAGAGUGUCCCAGCCUGGGCCAGAAUACUGGGUUGUGAGGAACCUUAAGGACACUUGUCUAGUGGUCUGUAGGACGCAUGGUCCUGUUUAGACAUUCUGCUUGCUGUGGUGACUCAGGGACCUGCCGCUGGUGAAAGCAGCCUUUUCUUCCCCAGGAGAUUUAUAGUAAAUCAAAGUAAGUACUUUUGCCUUUUCCUCUGUGGUCUUGAUUUUACCUCUUGAUUUCAAAAGUAAGUCCAGGUGACAGGUGGAUCAGAGUUGGAUUAUGGAAGACUAAGCAUGUCAGUGGGAAUUGAUUUAGAAGAUUGUGGGGAAAUAUCAAGGGCUUUUGUGAAGGGGAGUGAUAUGACCAUAGCUGGGCUUAGGAAGCCUGGUCUGGCCUGGUUGGGGAUCCAAGGUAAAUGGAGCAGGCUGGAAAGGUUAGGGGGGCAAGGAGACCAAUAGGAAGCAUUGGCAACUGCCGUGGUGAGUGGAUGUAGGGGUCUGGAUUAGGGCAUUGUGUAUACAAAGGAAGGGACAUAUUCCAGGGAAGUUAAAUGGCAACUCCUCAUUUUCUAGUUUGUGGCUGUCAGCCGGGGUAGGUUGGUGUGUGGUUGGCAUGCUUAGGCUGGCGUUCCUCCCUCCCUUCCUACUUCCACAGAGCACCUGCUCCAUACCAGACCCUGGGUUCUGCAGAGUUCCUGUCUGGAAGGUGCCCAUGAGCUGGAGGAAAGGAGAAACGAUGGUUCUGCCAGGGAGGAGAUGACAUUAAAGGCAGAGGUUGUGUCCUAUGCCUCAUGUGAGCCUGUCUCUCCCUGAGAGGGGCUCAGAAGGUUGACUGUUAGAAGUCCCACAGCUGGCUGGCCACAUAGACAAUAAUGCUGUAUACUAGAAAUGAACGUUAUAAUAAAACUCUUAAAAAUACAACCUUAUCUCUACUUUUAAGGAACCUACCGUUUACAAAUAAAAGAUCAUCCAUUCAUUUGUUCAUUCAGUAUCUGUUUUCUGUAAAGCACAUUGUAUGGCUGUAUGUCCUUAUGCAUAGUAAUUGCCAAAAUGCCUAUUGCAGGGAGCAGGGUCACCUCCCUGAGGCCAUGCUGAACUUGAAGUGGGUCUACUUUCUGCCCCUCUUGAGCUUUUAUUUCCGCAAAUACCUUUGCCUCAUUUAUUGAUUUGAGAAUGUUCCGUAAUGACUUCAAGGACACCUUCCAGCUUGGGAAUUCUGUAAUUUUAAAGUACAGCUUGUUGAAGGGCUUUAUGAUAAAGGGGAAGUUAGGAGCAAGUGCUCUGAGCUUGUCCUGCUCUGGAUGCUGGCCUCUGCACAAAGGUCCUCACAGGCUGCCAUGGGGAAGACCGUCCUGGGUCACUUCUUCCUCCCUCUUAAGCCCUGGAAGAGAGGACUUGAACGAGUCACUGGGAGCCUGGAAAAACAAUGAACAUGCUGUCCAUCCACUAAAAACAUCGGCAGUCUAGCAUGCAGUGUGCUCUUCCCUGGUCUAACAUCACCAGUGUGUGAUCUCUGCACUCACUCAGUGACCAGAAAGGCGGGAGGUCUGGAGAGAGAUUGCAGGUGGCUCCCUUGGUCAGUCAGGAGCCAUUCCCUUCUCCUGCAUGCUGGAGGGGUGCACGAUGGGCCUGAUACAGGCUGUUGACAGUGGAGCAGAGGUGUCACUUAGCCAGAAGGGUAAGGGGAGCUCAGACCCAGUCCAGGUAUUCAGGUCCUGCUCCCUGGUGAGAGGAGCUAUGUGUGAGUGGUGGCCUGUCGGAUGGCAGAGAAUCUCCUCCUCUCUGGUGGAUCUGGAAUCCUGCUCAUCUGCCAUCCAGCGUCUCCAGCCCUGCUGUGCCUGAGAAGUCUUCAUUUCUCACUGGUAGCCUCCAUUGUCUCUACUUCCUACAUUUUCAGGGCACUUGGCCUCUGCUGUACCCUCAGCCCCUAAUCCUAAGGGCGUGUGCUCUAUGAAGAGGGCCCUGUGUGCUGCAGUGCCUGACGCAUGAGUAUUGUGCCUGCCUCCCUCAGUGUUGUUCAGCAGCAAGCCUCCUCUAAAGCAAGUGCACCAUUUUCAUGGUGGACUUGUUUCCUGUGUUUGUAUUCUUAUUUCCUGAAACCAAACUGCAAACUCCUGAGAACAGGAGCUCUUUUUUCUUUUUUUAAAAUAAGCUCUCAUUUUUAUUUAUUCUUGGCUAUUUUCACAACACUGUUUGGGUGGGACAGGGCACAUGCACACUUUACAGCUGAGAAACAGCAUCACAGAGGUUUAAUGGCUCUGUAAAAUAAGGUAAUUAGUAAGCGGUGGCCCUGAGACUUUAACCAGGAUCUUAACAGCCCUUGUUCAGUGAAUGAUCGUUCUGUUACCCAAAACCAGCUGAGUAUUUAGGAGGGGCUCAGGAACCAUUUUAUUGAGUUAAAAAAAAUGUGGUAAGAUAUUUGUGAGUACAUGUGCCUAUGCACGGAUUCUGUAUGCUUAGAAACUUCUUUGACCAGCCUCUUAAUUUGAAAAGGGAUUUUAAGGUUUGUAUAUGCAUUGUUUGUUGCAGGUACUGUUUUUGGAAGUGACUAGUGAGGACAGAUAACUUAGAAAUAUUUGCAUGUUACAUCAGAAGGGCGUUAACAGUACCGGUUACUGUUUAACACUAGUGGUAUUAGCUGUUCCAGCAAAAGGCGCUGCUGAUUCGUAAUAACCAGAUAAUAGCAACGAGAUUGGAGAGUACAGUCCAGAUCACAUUAUGAGUGUAUAUAUAGUUUAAAUGCAAUGCGGGUGAACCUUUUAAUAUGAGGUUUUAAGAAUUCUGGAAUUUAAGUGUGAGACAUAAUUCAUGGUGUAUAUUCGAUAAGGACAUACUCUUUGGCCAUAUAACCUUCGGAAGUCAUAAUCUUGAAUUAUUUGUCAUUGGAAUGAAUCAUCCUGUUGAGAGAAUCAUAUCUUCCUUCAGUGUUAAAAAUACACGUAUGUCAUCUGUCAUGGUGAGUAUUCCAGUUACAAUGCAUAUUUCUUUUUUUCACAUCCUGCCCACUCCCUCGGUGUUAUCCUUGAGAAGAGAAAGAUUUUAGAUGAUGUCUAAGUGGUUCCCAGUCUUUGAGUCUAUAAUCACAUCCCUGCUUUUCCUCAUUUCUUUUGGUUGCUAUGUUUUGAUAUUUGUCUUUGGUCUCUUUCUUUGGGAAGAGUGAUUGGGCGGCUCCAGAAGGAGUGAACCCAUCUGGGAGCUGAUAGUUGAUGCAUUUUUGUUAUGCUUGGUGGAGGGAGCAGCCCCCUUCUUCCUGAGCAGAGUUCAUGUGUGAUAUACAAACGAAUGGCUCUUUCCAUCUGGCCAUCACAGAGGCAAGAAACAAUGGUGCCUCUGGAGCACUGAAUUUCUCAGACUCUCAAGGGACAGCAGAAUGUGUAUGUGAACUGGCACACCCAAAUGCAAAUUAUUCCUGGUGACACCUAAUAUAUGUAAAUGUAUGCUGCUCAGUUGGCCAAGAAAUUAUGAACGGCACUCUUUCUAAAUAAUGCUAUAUAACUGAAAUUUUAAUUUUAUCAUCACAAUGGUGAAGUGCAUUGAUAGUCCUAUUUCCUGCCAAAUUUCUGUGACAUUUCCAGCAGCUUCAAGCACCCCUCACGGGCCGACUGUACAGAGGUGGAAGAUCUGGCGUUUUAGGAGGGAGUGCAGCCAGGCUCCCUUCUGAAGGCUGGGCUUGCCUUCUUAGGAUGUAGGGAUCUAGUGGUUGAGGGCUAGGGGCAGAAAGUGGACAAUCAGGAUAGAGACAGGACUCGGCAGAGGAGAGGACUUUUAGUACGGAUGUACUAAACAUCUCUACAGAUGCGGGCCCCCCACAUCAUCACACUUAACUUCAGGAACAAAGAAAGCCAGCAGCUCUAAAGACAAUAGGGCGUACCUGCAGAGCCGGUGGCGGGGCAGGUAACCUGUGCUGCUUCCGUGGUGGACUUUGCAGUUGCCUUAGGGAUGGUGACCCGCAGCCUGGACUUUGCUCAGUGGUGCCCGUCACAGAGAGCCUCAGCCUGACCUCUGCUGUCUUCACCCUUUGACCUCCCUUGAGCCUGGACUGAGGGGUUUCCCCUGUCUUUUGAUGAACCAACCUGAGUCCAGCCUCUCACUGAGCUGGGCACCGGGGGCAGCUUCAAAGGAGACAGGAGAAAUGGCCAUCCCCCUUGGGUGCUGCUGGCCUGGCAGGAGAGGCCUAGCCUGUGUCUAGGGAGGAGUGAGGCAGAUGUGGCCAGCAUGGAGCUGGCUGCUUUCCUAUAGCAGCCGGAAUCUCAGCCGAGCCUGGAAGGACAUGCAGGUGUUAGGUAGUUGGGGUUGUUAGGCACAGGGCUGGUCACAGAGCACUGGAGGGAAUUGGUUGAGUCAGUGAUGGAUUAGUUGAUAGCAAAGGGAGACUGGAGAGAGGGGAGAAAAUGCCUGAGCCUAAGAAUGGGAGAUAGGCUGCCUGGAGAACACAGAGGAAGUACCCCGCCCUGGAGGUGUGUACUCCUCCCAUCCCCUGUAAAUUGGGAGUGUGCCAGUGUGUUG